GAUGAACGCUGGCGGCGUGCCUAAUACAUGCAAGUCGAGCGAACAGACGAGGAGCUUGCUCCUCUGACGUUAGCGGCGGACGGGUGAGUAACACGUGGAUAACCUACCUAUAAGACUGGGAUAACUUCGGGAAACCGGAGCUAAUACCGGAUAAUAUAUUGAACCGCAUGGUUCAAUAGUGAAAGACGGUUUUGCUGUCACUUAUAGAUGGAUCCGCGCCGCAUUAGCUAGUUGGUAAGGUAACGGCUUACCAAGGCAACGAUGCGUAGCCGACCUGAGAGGGUGAUCGCACACACUGGAACUGAGACACGGUCCAGACUCCUACGGGAGGCAGCAGUAGGGAAUCUUCCGCAAUGGGCGAAAGCCUGACGGAGCAACGCCGCGUGAGUGAUGAAGGUCUUCGGAUCGUAAAACUCUGUUAUUAGGGAAGAACAAAUGUGUAAGUAACUAUGCACGUCUUGACGGUACCUAAUCAGAAAGCCACGGCUAACUACGUG
RNAcentral lists this ribosomal RNA (497 nucleotides) under uncultured bacterium. RNAcentral's name for it is "partial 16S ribosomal RNA". It matches the Rfam family "Bacterial small subunit ribosomal RNA", at positions 28 to 507 of the family's 1533-position model. The record is from RNAcentral.